UUGCUGUGAUGAUGCAGUCAACUGGUUGAAAGUAUUUUUGGACCAUUAUGUCCAUCCUGAGUGGUUACCCGAGCAA
Citrus sinensis (sweet orange) is the source of this 76-nucleotide non-coding RNA. The record is from Rfam. NCBI's taxonomy places the organism in Eukaryota, Viridiplantae, Streptophyta, Magnoliopsida, Sapindales, Rutaceae.